AGGGAGCCCAAUGCCAAAAUAAAAGUGUCUCCGUUUACUUUGCUACGAUGUUGCCGGCAGCCAGCGCGUGACAGCAGGGCCGUCGAAUGGGCAGCUGGGUCCCUUCCCUCCUGCGGAAGUGAGAGGAGGACCGUCCUUCAGGCUGCUGCCUUCACAGCCGGGCCUGCCCUUCUGAGGUGAGACGCUGGGCUCAGACCUCCCCGUGUCCCCCCAGGUAAGGGCAGAGGAGGGCCUGCUGCAGGCUGUGGACAGCCACGGGGAGUCCAGACUGCCUGCAAGUGGCCAGUCCUUGCUCCUCUGUCAGAGUAAAGGUGUGCGUGUGCGUGUGCGUGUGUGUGUGUGUGUGUGCGUGGGGGAGGCAGGGCUGAGACGUGCACAUGGGAGAACAUUCUACUCAGGCCAAGGGAUAAAGAAAUGGCAGCCUCUCCUUUUUUUCAUGUUAUUAAAAAUCCUUUUCUGACACCACUCCCAGCUUCAUGCCUUGGGCAGGAGGUCUAGGGCAGGGCUACCUUUGUGUAACUAUGAGAAGGUCAGUGUGCCAGUUAUCUAUUGCCACAGAUGCCAUGCAGGUGCUAUCCCCAAGCUCCGAGGUUUGUUUUUAUCAUCGCUCAUUUAUUCCCUUUAUUUAUUUAGGGUACAGGGUUGAACUCGGGGACAUUCGACCACUGAGUCACAUCUCCAGCCCUAUUUUGUAUCUUAUUUAGAGACAGGGUCUCACUGAGUUGCUUGGCACCUUGCUUUUGCUGAGGCUGGCUUUGAACUCACGAUCCUCCUGCCUCAGCCUCCUGAGCCCCUGGGAUUACAGGUGUGCACCACUCACCUGGCUCAUUUAUUUACUUAAAUUAUUUUAUUUAUUUUCAACAACUGGGCCUGAUACCGUCAAUUGAGCCCUUGCCAGGGAUUGGGAUCUCUCUGGAGACAGAUACUGGCUUCAGAGAUGGAGGCAGCUGAGUGACAAGGAGCUGGGUGGACUUUUUUUAUUUGACUUGCAAGUAAUUUGUUUCUGCAGAAGGCCCCACACAUUGGGUGCUGUUAACAUCUGCUGAGUGAAUGACAGAGUUAAUAAAUGAAUAAACAAGAAUCUUCAGCCGCCUGCUCACUGGACAUCAAGGGUGUUGGUAAUAGG
This 1126-nucleotide long non-coding RNA is filed under the name Marmota monax (woodchuck). Lineage: Eukaryota; Metazoa; Chordata; Mammalia; Rodentia; Sciuridae. The record is from RNAcentral.